RNAcentral lists this transfer RNA (72 nucleotides) under Bos taurus (domestic cattle). It matches the Rfam family "tRNA". From Rfam's summary of the family: Transfer RNA (tRNA) molecules are approximately 80 nucleotides in length. Their secondary structure includes four short double-helical elements and three loops (D, anti-codon, and T loops). Further hydrogen bonds mediate the characteristic L-shaped molecular structure. tRNAs have two regions of fundamental functional importance: the anti-codon, which is responsible for specific mRNA codon recognition, and the 3' end, to which the tRNAs corresponding amino acid is attached (by aminoacyl-tRNA synthetases). tRNAs cope with the degeneracy of the genetic code in two manners: having more than one tRNA (with a specific anti-codon) for a particular amino acid; and 'wobble' base-pairing, i.e. permitting non-standard base-pairing at the 3rd anti-codon position. RNAcentral also lists the same sequence under 4 other names. The record is from Rfam by way of RNAcentral. Lineage: Eukaryota; Metazoa; Chordata; Mammalia; Artiodactyla; Bovidae.
UCCCUGGUGGCUCAGUUGAUAAAGAGUCUGCCUGCAAUGCAGGAGACCUGGGUUCAAUCCCUGGGUUGGGAA